Molecule: ribosomal RNA, 301 nt
Filed under: uncultured bacterium
Lineage: Bacteria
Description: partial 16S ribosomal RNA
Rfam family: Bacterial small subunit ribosomal RNA
Source: RNAcentral
CAGUAGCCACGGUAAUACGGAGGGUGCAAGCGUUAAUCGGAAUUACUGGGCGUAAAGCGCACGCAGGCGGUCUGUCAAGUCAGAUGUGAAAUCCCCGGGCUUAACCUGGGAACUGCAUUUGAAACUGGCAGGCUAGAGUCUUGUAGAGGGGGGUAGAAUUCCAGGUGUAGCGGUGAAAUGCGUAGAGAUCGGGAGGAACAUCAGUGGCGAAGGCGGCCAUCUGGGACAACACUGACGCUGAGGCACGAAAGCGUGGGGAGCAAACAGGAUUAGAUACCCGCGUAGUCCCUGUCUCUUAUAA